Molecule: ribosomal RNA, 115 nt
Filed under: Acanthosepion pharaonis
Lineage: Eukaryota; Metazoa; Mollusca; Cephalopoda; Sepiida; Sepiidae
Source: RNAcentral
UUACGGUCAGAUCACGCUGAAAACACCGGUUCUCGUUCGAUCACCGAAGUUAAGCAUCGUAUAGCCAGGUCAGUACUUAGAUGGGGGACCGCUCAGAAACACCUGGUACUGUAAG